RNAcentral lists this ribosomal RNA (429 nucleotides) under Chloroflexota bacterium. Its description in RNAcentral is "Chloroflexi bacterium partial 16S ribosomal RNA". It matches the Rfam family "Bacterial small subunit ribosomal RNA", at positions 355 to 776 of the family's 1533-position model. Lineage: Bacteria; Bacillati; Chloroflexota. The record is from RNAcentral.
UGGGGAAUAUUGCACAAUGGGCGCAAGCCUGAUGCAGCCAUGCCGCGUGUAUGAAGAAGGCCUUCGGGUUGUAAAGUACUUUCAGCGGGGAGGAAGGGAGUAAAGUUAAUACCUUUGCUCAUUGACGUUACCCGCAGAAGAAGCACCGGCUAACUCCGUGCCAGCAGCCGCGGUAAUACGGAGUGUGCAAGCGGUAAUCGGAAUUACUGGGCGUAAAGCGCACGCAGGCGGUUUGUUAAGUCAGAUGUGAAAUCCCCGGGCUCAACCUGGGAACUGCAUCUGAUACUGGCAAGCUUGAGUCUCGUAGAGGGGGGUAGAAUUCCAGGUGUAGCGGUGAAAUGCGUAGAGAUCGGGAGGAAUACCGGUGGCGAAGGCGGCCCCCUGGACGAAGACUGACGCUCAGGUGCGAAAGCGUGGGGAGCAAACAGG